RNAcentral lists this long non-coding RNA (2046 nucleotides) under Gallus gallus (chicken). Lineage: Eukaryota; Metazoa; Chordata; Aves; Galliformes; Phasianidae. The record is from RNAcentral.
GCAGAAAAGCCAACCGUGGUCCUGUGAUCUGCGCUUGGCUAAGACAAAUCAGCACAAACACAACAGGUCCCAUUUUCCAGUUGCAAAGAAAUCCAGGGCAAAGAGCUCUGUAAUGAAAAUUAACAACUGAAAAACUUCAGUUAGGUUUACACGGCAUUGGAGGGAGGCAGGAGAGUUCAGAAGCAGUAUUCAGCAGGCACAUUUCUGAUCAGCAAGGUCUCUGGACAGAGCACAAAGCUACGUACGUAUAUGACUUACCAACCUUGAUUUUAGCAAGUUACUCACAUCCUGCUUUAAUAAUUUGUCAUAUCAAGAAGAAGGGAGAGGUUGUGGGUGGAAUUAAUUCUAUAACCAUUUAUUUUCAUAAAAUCUUAAUAAUUGGAAAUAGCACAGUUCAGGAACGGAAAUAUUCCAUAUAAAAGAACAUGAAGGUUGUUCACACACACAGGAGUUUGCACAACAAAUAAGAGGUGAUGUAGCAUGCAAUUACCAGAUCUAGGGGUGUGGCAGUGACAAGCUGUUCUACCUUUGUUCAAAUUAAAGCAAUUCAAGUGUAUCACCAAGAGGGACAAUGAGGGACUGAGUGAAUAAGCUGAACCACUCACUUUCCUGCACGCUGCGAUAAACGCACUUAUUGCUAAGCUUGUAGCAACAUUAUGCUCUUACUUUUCCAAAUGGACAAAUUAUACAUCCUGUGAGUGAACUGCAAGCUUCCCUUCAUACUAUUUCUCACUUCCUCACUUCACUGAGCUUUGCCAACAGCAGCAGCAGUUUAUAAUAUAUAUGUGAACGCAGACUUUGCAUGUCCAUACUCUAGACACGUCUGAACAAAAACAGGUAAGGAAGGACACUUGUCCACAGUGAUUUGUCAUGACAGAGCAAAAGGACAGAUUUCCCAAAACAUGAUGAGGAUUCUGUACAAAAGUCCAUUGAAAGGAUCAGUUUUCUGUUUUCAGAGGGGUUCUCCACUGGGACUGUCUCAGUCUCACUGGGACAUUCCGACUGCUUUUUCUCCUUGCUGGAGAUUCCACUUUCCACUCCCGUGGCACGGAUGGCAGUUUCUCCGGUGAUGUCAAACAGAUAAUAUCUCCCGGCUGCUCCUCAGCCUCUUUAUUCUCUCGAGCAGAACCAGGUGUGUGUGUCAAGCUGAUGUAACUGACCCCAGCACCAAAAGUCAAGUCAUUAAUGGUCUCUGAAAGAAAACAAAACACAUAAGCCAGCUGCCUGUGACACAGCCAGAGGGAAGACAUGCUGCAGUCUAAUACUCAGGUGUUACACAGAAUAAGUAUAUCCAGUUAACUGCAAGCAGUUAAGCAAAGCAUCUCUUUUCAAACCCAGCAGCCUCAAAAAGAGGCACCAAAUCUGAUGGGCCAUCUGUGCACAGUUUCAUACUCCUGAAUUACAGCCUUCCCUGCAUGUGGAGGAAACUAAUUUACAUGUGGGACCUCCACGGUGCACCUCCUUGUCCUGCCUUAGGUGCUAGAGCCACACCUCCCAUUGCAGCUCAGCCAUCAUCCAGAACCACAGCACCUCAUGAACUGCCCUCAACACCAGAGUCAGACUAUUUACGUGGCUCAGCCAAGGCAGAAUGUGGGGCCCUUGAAGAUUGACAAAGGAUUUGAACAGCCCUUCCAAGAGGAACUGUCUGCAGCCAGACGAGGAAUCACUUGACAGGGAAGCUAGGUAGAAUUUAGCUUGUCUGAACAGGCCAUACUUGUCAGCUGUCACUUUCCUGUCAUUUAUCUCAGGAGAGAUGUCACCGUAUUCAGAUUUUUCUUUUCUCAGCUCUCUGUUUUAUGCUCCUGUUUCCCAGAAACCUUCACAAGGAAUUACAGUAGAAAAUGCUUUAUUGAGUAGGAAAUGGAAACUCUGCUAAAGAACUGCCAUCAAGUGAGGCUUCCCUUGCAAUCAAAGAAAGGUAUUAUCUUCUAAACAUGUGUUUAUGUAUCACAGUGAAUAAAUCUACACUUGUCCAGACCCACUCAGCCAUUCUCAAAGUAAUGAGCAGGAGAGAUAAGGAGGUGACAGACAGGGGGGACAGACUGA